AAUGGCCCUGUGGGAGAGCGCGAACACAUGACUGUUCGCCGCCGAAGGCGCAACACGCCCGGAAUCGCUCAGGCAAAAGGACCGCAGCCGGACC
RNAcentral lists this non-coding RNA (94 nucleotides) under Gammaproteobacteria bacterium. RNAcentral's name for it is "Glycine sequence". It matches the Rfam family "Glycine riboswitch aptamer". From Rfam's summary of the family: This family represents the bacterial glycine riboswitch. Glycine riboswitches usually consist of two metabolite-binding aptamers domains with similar structures in tandem. The record is from RNAcentral. Lineage: Bacteria; Pseudomonadati; Pseudomonadota; Gammaproteobacteria.